Otolemur garnettii (small-eared galago) is the source of this 106-nucleotide small nuclear RNA. The record is from Ensembl. Lineage: Eukaryota; Metazoa; Chordata; Mammalia; Primates; Galagidae.
GUGCCUGCUUCAGCAGCACAUAUCGUAAAGUUGGAUGGAUACAGAGAAGAUAGCAUGGCCUCUGUGCAAGGAUGACAUGCAAAUUCGUGAAGAGUUCCAUAUUUUU